Molecule: ribosomal RNA, 459 nt
Filed under: uncultured bacterium
Lineage: Bacteria
Description: partial 16S ribosomal RNA
Rfam family: Bacterial small subunit ribosomal RNA
Source: RNAcentral
CCUACGUGAGGCAGCAGUGAGGAAUAUUGGUCAAUGGGAGAGAUCCUGAACCAGCCAAGCCGCGUGAGGGAAGACGGCCCUAUGGGUUGUACACCUCUUUUGUCGGAGCACAAAACCCGGGACGUGUCCCGGACUGCGUGUAUCCGAAGAAAAAGCAUCGGCUAACUCCGUGCCAGCAGCCGCGGUAAUACGGAGGAUGCGUGCGUUAUCCGGAUUUAUUGGGGUUAAAGGGUGCGUAGGCGGUCCGUUAAGUCAGCGGUAGAAUUGCGGGGCUCAACCCCGUCGAGCCGUUGAAACUGGCAGACUUGAGUGGGCGAGAAGUACGGGGAAUGCGCGGUGGAGCGGUGAAAUGCAUAGAUAUCGCGCAGAACUCCGAUUGCGAAGGCAGCGUACCGGCGCCAGACUGACGCUGAGGCACGAAAGCGUGGGGAUCGAACAGGAUUAGAUACCCUGGUAGUC